This 451-nucleotide ribosomal RNA is filed under the name uncultured bacterium. RNAcentral's name for it is "partial 16S ribosomal RNA". It matches the Rfam family "Bacterial small subunit ribosomal RNA", at positions 329 to 793 of the family's 1533-position model. The record is from RNAcentral.
GCCCAGACUCCUACGGGAGGCAGCAGUGGGGAAUAUUGGGCAAUGGAGGAAACUCUUACCCAGCAAUGCCGCGUGAAUGAAGAAGGUCUUCGGAUUGUAAAGUUCUUUAAUUGGGGACGAAAAAAAUGACGGUACCCAAGGAAUAAGCCCCGGCUAACUACGUGCCAGCAGCCGCGGUAAUACGUAGGGGGCAAGCGUUGUUCGGAAUGACUGGGCGUAAAGGGUGCGUAGGCGGUGUAGCAAGUUAGAAGUGAAAUACCUAGGGCUUAACUCAGGUGCUGCUUCUAAAACUGCUAUACUUGAGUGCAGUAGAGGAAAGUGGAAUUCCUAGUGUAGCGGUGGAAUGCGUAGAUAUUAGGAGGAACGCCAGUGGCGAAGGCGGCUUGCUGGACAGAGACUGACGUUGAGGCUCGAAAGCGUGGGGAGCAAACAGGAUUAGAUACCCCGGUAC